Molecule: RNA transcript, 1860 nt
Organism: Carassius auratus (goldfish)
Lineage: Eukaryota; Metazoa; Chordata; Actinopteri; Cypriniformes; Cyprinidae
Gene name: zinc finger BED domain-containing protein 1-like
Exons: 3
Source: RefSeq, a predicted model, not a curated record
ACAUGUGCUCAAUAAACACGGUGACAAACGAAGGCUUCAAAUUCUUGGUCAACACUCUGGAUAAACGAUACGUGAUCCCCUCGCGUAAUUAUUUUUCAAAGGUGGCACUACCUGCGAUGUACAGAAAACGCAGAGGGGAAAUAGAGCGUGAUCUUGCCAAUAUAAAGUACUUUGCAACUACAACGGAUCUGUGGUCAAGCAGCACAAUGGAUCAGUACAUGAGUUUGACAAUUCAUUACAUCGAUGAGGAUUUUGCAAUGCAGAGUCGAUGCUUGCAAACAUCUUUUUUCCCGCAAGAUCACACGGGAGAGUCAAUUGCCCAGGGCCUGAGGGAGUCGAUGGCCUCUUGGAGCUUGCAGGAGGAUCGGCUUGUCUGCAUUACAACAGACAACGGAGCUAAUGUGGUAAAGGCAGCUUCUCUAAAUAAUUGGACUAGGCUUCAGUGCUUUGGCCACAGACUCCAUCUAGCAAUAGAGAAUGCAAUGAGAGAUCCUCGGAUUUAUCGAGCAGUGGGUCUCUGCAAAAAGCUGGUAAGCAGUUUCUCUUACAGCUGGCGACGUAAAAAGCAGCUGACGGAGGCACAAAGAGAACUGAAGCUUCCAGAGCAUACACUGAAGACUGAAUGUCCCACAAGGUGGGGAUCAAGGCAAGCAAUGAUUGCACGAGUCCUGGAGCAGAAGAGGGCGAUUUCUCAGCUCUUGUCCGAUGACAGAAAAGCCAGACACCUCAUCCCUACCUGGCAGGACACAGAUGUCCUUGAGGCCAUAAAUCCCUCAGCCCUCUAUUGGAAUUUACUGAUGCGCUUUCCAGUGAGAAGUAUGUCAGCGUUUCCUUUGUGAAGCCAGUCCUCCACCUUUUCAGAUCAUCCAUCUUGAAAGUGAACGAUGAUGAGACAGACCUUACCUGCACCAUCAAGACAAAAAUCCUGAGCUAUCUGGAUGAAAAAUUCAAUGACCCUCUGACACAAGAACUACUUGAUAUGGCUUCUGCGCUAGAUCCACGGUUCAAGCUCAGCUACGUCAGUGAGGACAAUGUUGCACCAAUUCAUGCCAGACUGACUUCUGAAAUGGCGAGGACUGCACCUGCAGCCAUGGCUGAGAUGGGCCCAACAACUGAUCCCCAUGGUGAGCCUGCUGAGGAUGCACCCACUACAAAAAAGAAAAAGACCUUGGGGAGUUUCUUCAAGACUGCUGAGGGAGCAGCGGCAGCCACACAAAGACUCAGUCCUCUCCAAGAACAACAAGCUAUAUCUUCUGAGCUACAGUCGUACCUACAAUCAGGUAACCUAGACAGUGAGGAGGACCCGCUAGACUGGUGGAGGGAACAUCAGAGACUCUUCCCACGUCUCUCAAAACUGGCAAAGAAAUACUUGUGCAUCCCGGCUACAAGUUCUCCCUCUGAGAGGGUGUUCAGCACAGGGGGGAAUGUGGUGACCUGCCUUCGCUCAUCCCUCAAGCCAGAAAAUGUUGACAGGCUAGUGUUUCUUUCCAAAAACCUGUAAACUACAGUACUCUUUUCGACAUAGUUGAAAUGUUCUUAUUUGGUUACAUUCUGUUAUGGAAUAUUUGUUUCUUAUUGAUUGUAUAUUUUAUUUUUAGUUUUAUUCACAUCCAUUAUGCAGGUACAACUUAAGUUUAUAUUUUGCUUAAAACUAAAUAUAUAUUACUAAAAUAUAUUUACACAUUGUAAAAUGUAAAAUAGUGCCCUGUUGAAGUUUUGCUACAUUUUCUUUAUUGUUUUAAUUUAUUUUUUAUUUAUUCUUUAAGGAGAUUCACUGAAUUUUGGUGAAUAAAAGGACCUAUUUUAUUUUGAUGCACAUAUCUGUACAUUAUCAGGAAUGUUGCACAAUAUGGAUGUGAA